RNAcentral lists this ribosomal RNA (915 nucleotides) under uncultured bacterium. Its description in RNAcentral is "bacterial SSU rRNA". It matches the Rfam family "Bacterial small subunit ribosomal RNA", at positions 33 to 932 of the family's 1533-position model. The record is from RNAcentral.
ACGCUGGCGGCGUGCCUAAUACAUGCAAGUAGAACGCUGAAGGAGGAGCUUGCUCUUCUGGAUGAGUUGCGAACGGGUGAGUAACGCGUAGGUAACCUGCCUGGUAGCGGGGGAUAACUAUUGGAAACGAUAGCUAAUACCGCAUAACAGUAGAUGUUGCAUGACAUUUGCUUAAAAGGUGCAAUUGCAUCACUACCAGAUGGACCUGCGUUGUAUUAGCUAGUUGGUGGGGUAACGGCUCACCAAGGCGACGAUACAUAGCCGACCUGAGAGGGUGAUCGGCCACACUGGGGCUGAGACACGGCCCAGACUCCUACGGGAGGCAGCAGUAGGGAAUCUUCGGCAAUGGACGGAAGCCUGACCGAGCAACGCCGCGUGAGUGAAGAAGGUUUUCGGAUCGUAAAGCUCUGUUGUAAGAGAAGAACGAGUGUGAGAGUGGAAAGUUCACGCUGUGACGGUAUCUUACCAGAAAGGGACGGCUAACUACGUGCCAGCAGCCGCGGUAAUACGUAGGUCCCGAGCGUUGUCCGGAUUUAUUGGGCGUAAAGCGAGCGCAGGCGGUUAGAUAAGUCUGAAGUUAAAGGCUGUGGCUUAACCAUAGUACGCUUUGGAAACUGUUUAACUUGAGUGCAAGAGGGGAGAGUGGAAUUCCAUGUGUAGCGGUGAAAUGCGUAGAUAUAUGGAGGAACACCGGUGGCGAAAGCGGCUCUCUGGCUUGUAACUGACGCUGAGGCUCGAAAGCGUGGGGAGCAAACAGGAUUAGAUACCCUGGUAGUCCACGCCGUAAACGAUGAGUGCUAGGUGUUAGACCCUUUCCGGGGUUUAGUGCCGCAGCUAACGCAUUAAGCACUCCGCCUGGGGAGUACGACCGCAAGGUUGAAACUCAAAGGAAUUGACGGGGGCCCGCACAAGCGG